CUGGGUCGGUCACGAUCCAAGCCUAAAUACAUACACUGACCGAUAGUGAACUAGUACCGUGAGGGAAAGGCGAAAAGAACCCAAGUGAUGGGAGUGAAAUAGAACCUGAAACUAUUAGCUUACAAUCAGACGAAGCCCCUUUAAGGGGUGACGUCGUGCCUAUUGAAGAAUGAGUCAGCGAGUUAUCAUAUAUUGCAGUCUAACCACAGAUUGUGGGGAGGCACAGGGAAACCGAGUGUUAAUAGCGCGAAACAAAAUGCAGUAUAUGUUAGACCCGAAACCAGGUGAGCUUACCAUGAGCAGGUUGAACCCUUCCGAAAGGUCGGGGGAGGACCGAACCCGUUAGCGGCGAAAUGCUUUGGGAUGACUUGUGGUAAGGGGUAAUAUGCCAAACGAACCUGGAGAUAGCUGGUUCUCCCCGAGAUAUAUUUAGGUAUAGCCCAUGAGUGUUCCUUCCGGGGGUAGAGCUACUGGAUAGGUCCUGCGUACGCAAGUAUGUUGGACUUAACCAAACUCCGAAUACCGGAAGUUAGAGCCAUGGAGUCAGUCUUGCUCGGAUAAUCGAGUAUGGACGAGAGGGAAACAACCCAGACUCACGUCUAAGGUUCCUAAAUCAAUGCUUAGUUGAAAAGGCCGUUUAGUUUCCAACACAGCAGGGAGGUUGGCUCAGAAGCAGCCAUCCUUUAAAGAGUGCGUAACAGCUCACCUGAAUAUUCCCGCAAGGGAUGGAAACUAUGCGCCGAAAAUGAUCGGAGAUAAGCAUCGUACCGAAGACUGAGAUUAUAUAUUUCUCUUAUGAAAUGUGUAGUGGUAGGGGAGCGUUCUAGCGGCUGUGAAGCCUCACCGUAAGGUGGAGUGGAGCUUCUAGAAGUGAGAAUGCUGACGCAAGUAGUGAUUCUUCUGGUGAAAACCCAGAAUGCCGAAUGUUCAAGGUUUCCUCAGCAACGUCAAUCGUCUGAGGGUGAGUCGGAUCUAACUGAUGCAUCGAUUGGUGCAUCGGGAUGUACAAACGGUUAAUAUUCCGUUACUACCUUCAGGAGUGACGUGGAGACGCAGUAGUGACAGUGCCGCCAUCUGACGGAAUAGAUGGUUGAAGGGUGUAGGAGUCGAUCAUGGCAGGCAAAUCCACCAUGAGAUCCGAACCUGAUAGUAUGCCGCGUCCUUCGGGACAAGGCAAUAGUGCGCGUAAGCAUGCUGCCGAGAAAAUCCGCUAAACUUAAUCCUGUAGGUACCCGUACCGCAAACGGACACACGUGGUCGGGUAGAACAUACUAAGGCGUUGAGAGAUUCAUGGUUAAGGAACUAGGCAAAUUAACCCCGUAACUUCGGGAUAAGGGGUCCUCUCCUCCGGGAGAGGCGCAGAGAAUAGGUCCAGGCAACUGUUUAACAAAAACACAGGGCUGUGCAAAAUUGAAAGAUGAAGUAUACAGCCUGACACCUGCCCGGUGCUGGAAGGUUAAGAGGAGAUGUGCAAGCAUUGAAUCGAAGCCCCAGUGAACGGCGGCCGUAACUAUAACGGUCCUAAGGUAGCGAAAUUCCUUGUCAGGUAAGUUCUGACGCGCACGAAUGGUGUAAUGACUGGGGAACUGUCUCGAGGACUUGCUCGGUGAAAAUACAAUACCGGUGAAGAUGCCGGUUACCCGCAGU
RNAcentral lists this ribosomal RNA (1647 nucleotides) under wastewater metagenome. RNAcentral describes it as "bacterial LSU rRNA". It matches the Rfam family "Bacterial large subunit ribosomal RNA", at positions 444 to 2076 of the family's 2925-position model. The record is from RNAcentral.